GAUGGAGAACGUAGCGAAAUGCGAUAAGUAAUGUGAAUUGCAGAAUUCAGUGAAGCAUCGAAUCUUUGAACGCACAUUGCGCCCGCCAGUAUUCUGGCGGGCAUGCCUGUUCGAGCGUCAUUUCAACCAUCAAGCCCCAGGCUUGUGUUGGGGACCUGCGGCUGCCGCAGGCCCUGAAAACCAGUGGCGGGCUCGCUGUCACACCGGGCGUAGUAGAUUUUAUCUCGCUCAGGGCGUGCUGCGGGUUCCGGCCGUUAAAAAGCCUUUUUUACCCAAGGUUGACCUCGGAUCAGGUAGGAAGACCCGCUGAACUUAAGCAUAUCAAUAAGCGGAGGA
RNAcentral lists this unclassified non-coding RNA (336 nucleotides) under soil metagenome. RNAcentral describes it as "partial contains 5.8S ribosomal RNA, internal transcribed spacer 2, and large subunit ribosomal RNA". The stretch from base 1 to 120 matches the Rfam family "5.8S ribosomal RNA", at positions 35 to 154 of the family's 154-position model. The record is from RNAcentral.